Molecule: long non-coding RNA, 5641 nt
Filed under: Sus scrofa (pig)
Lineage: Eukaryota; Metazoa; Chordata; Mammalia; Artiodactyla; Suidae
Description: lncRNA (ENSSSCG00015017104.1)
Source: RNAcentral
UUUUUUUUUUUUUUUGGCUUUUUAGGGCCACAUCCAUGGCAUAUGGAAGUUCCCUGGCUAGGGGUUGAAUCAGAGCUGUAGCUGCCAGCCUAUACCACAGCUCACAGCAACACAGGAUCUGAGCCACACCUGCAAACUACACCACAGCUCACAGCAACACUGGAUCCUUUACCCACUGAAUAAGGCCAGAGAUUGAAUCUGCAUCCUCAUGGGUUCUAGUCAGGUUCAUUAACCACUGAGCCAAGAAGGGAACUCCCUCCAAGCAUACUUCUAAAUGGUUGCUUUAACUCUAUCUCUGUUAGAAGCUUGAGGUAAUUUUUCUCCAAUUCCUAAAGUUUGCAACUGGCAGGAAUUUUGAGAGUAAAAUUUAUGAAAAUUUGGGGGAUCCCCAAAAAACUCUUCCUCCAUGAAUUUGAAACUUCUCAUGUUUGUCCAUGUUUAAUCUACAGCAAUUAGUCAAUUAGCCUUUACAUAUCCCUAUGCAAUACUGGUUCCAGUGAUGGUUUUUCCUCCCAGCAAACUAUGGUUCCCUUUUUCUACCUAUAUCUUCAGUUCAUAAAAUGGGUACUUGUCCUGUGACUUCAGUUCUCUGAUCCUUUCAGAAGAGUUGAUUUUCAAGUUUUCAGCUUUUUCCUUGUUUAUAAGCAUAGGAGCAAUGACUUGACAUGUUGGACUAGAAGGCAGACAUUAGUGAUGGAUUUUUAAGUACUAAUCAUAUAUGUUGUUUUCCAAACUCAUAAACUUAAGGUUAACUCAAAAUAUUUACAUUUAUUUUUAUAAAUGAAAGAGGCCUACAAUAUUUUUCUAUAAAUUAUUUGAAUAAUCUUAAUGUGAACAUAAAUUCAUAAAUAAUGUUUUUAGGAUUGCAUGUUUAAAUCUAUAAACAUACUAAAACAUUUAUAGUUUUGAUUAUCAAUUUUAAAUUAAUUUAAUUUUAAUAAUAAUAUGGUUAAUUAACAUUUUUAAUUUAUCAAUACUUUUUGUGACUUAUUAAUGAAGGAUUGUUUUAAAUGUUCAUUUCAUGUUUCAAAAAACAAGUUAAUUUUCUAAUUGAUUCAGGAAGAUCUAAAUAUGUUCAUUCUACCAAUAAUAUCAUACUUUAUAGAAUUAUUCUUCUUCUACAACCACUUUACUUUUUGAGUAUAUAUUAAUGCCUCUAAGUCAAUUGUUAUUUGCAUUCUUGUGGAGUUACUUGCUCUUUUCAUUUUUAUACUUUCUAUUCAUUAGUUAUUACAUUUCUUUUCAUUUUAUUUUAAUUUUUACCCCAAAAUAACUCAUUAAAAACCCCUCUAAAGUCCUACUCUAAAUAAUUUACUGUAUGUUUUUUUGAAAAUAUAUGAUUACUGAUUUACUUCAGUAUCAAUUAUAUAGUUUCCUUUUAAAUUAAAGAAAUUAUUUUGAUAAAAUUUCAAACAAUUGAUAAUUACAAGGAUACUAUAAUUUAUUUCCUGUAGAUACAUUUUACCCAUUUCCCCCAAAGUCAAGUAUUCUACAGUAUUUGCUAUAGUUUUUAAACUUUCUUAUAUUCCUCUCUGUCUUUCUCUCUGUCUUCCUUCCCUCUCUAUUUUUCUGAAUCAUUUGGCAAGGAACUUUGUUGUAGACAGAAUACUAUUAUCUUAUACAGAAUAUCCUUUUAAUUAGAUUUUUCUGACCUAUCUUAAGGACUUGGUUCAAGUAAUGUAUUUUUUUGCAAGAAUGUUCCUGAAUAGAUUCUGUAUUCGCAGUGACUUAGAUCAGGGUGGACAUUAUACCAUGGGCCUCAUUACUGGUGACAUUAACUUUAAUCACUUGGUUAAAGAAGAAUCUACCAACUUUCUCCAUUGUAAAUUAUUCUCUUUCCCUUUGCAAUUAGAAAGAUGUUUGUGGGACCAUUUAUGGGACUUCUCUUUAGAGUGAGCUGUCAGGGUAUUGAAAUAUAGGGACUUCUGCUUUUUGUUUCUGUGGACAGUAGCAUAAAGGAUGCUUUUGGUCUUGUUUUGUUUUUGGCAAUCCUUUUUUCUUCCAGGAAGCUAAAUUCCCCAUGUUUCUUCUUUUUCCUUUCACUGUGUAGUUUAUCAAAGUUACCUCUUCCUUUUUAAUAUUCUUUUCUUCUGAAGCAGCACCUCUGCUAUUUUAGGAGCUAUACAACUUAUUUCAUCCUCACGGUGUCAAUAUAAUUGUUUAAAUUCAUACUCAAUAUAUUUUCUAAUAUACACAGCAAAAUCUCAUACCCAUGCCCUGGAAUGUAUUUUUAUAAAAUCUAGACACUUCUUUUUAAAAUCUUUAGAAAAAUAGCAAGUUUCCAUUGCAGCUCAGUGAGUUAAGGACCCGACAUGAUCUCUGUGGGGAUGCAGUUUGGAUUCCUGGCCUUGCUCAGUGAACUAAGGAUCUAGCAUUGCCUUAAGCUACAACAUGGGUUGCAGAUGCAACUCAGAUCCAGUGUUGCCAUGGCUGUUGCAUAGGCCUGCAGCUACAGCUCCAAUUUGACCUCUUAUCCAGGAAAGUCCAUAUGCCACAGGUGGGGCUAUUAAAAAAUGAAAAAAAAUAUACUUUCAAGAUCAAUAAUUUAUCACUUUUUUGUGCAUUAGUGAAUUUAUUUGCCCACUUGUUUAUGUAUUCUUCAUGACAAAGUGCAUCCUUUAAUAAUUCUUCUUUGUGAGGGUAUGACUGUGGAUGUGUAUACUCCCUGUGUCUCUGUACAUCUGUAAAUUUUUUAUAUAUUCUAGAGUGAAUCUAAUUUCUGAUUCUUAUAUUUCUUCAUGUAACUCUACCUUGCAGCUUGAUCUUGUCUGCAUUUCUAUGAAUGUGCUUUAGUUUCUUUUAUCUUGUCAUCCCUCCCUAUCUCUUGGCUGAAAUCCUAAGGUUUGGAUUUACUGGGAGCCCUUGUAGCCUCAGUUCAAAACUAGAGUGUCAAAACUAGAGUUUCAUCUCAAAUAUUUAAAAUUCAGUCACUCGGCCUGUGUACGUUUGACUCAAUUCCUGGUAGUAAGGCUGUUCUCUGCCUUCCAUCUUCCUUGGACUACACACUUGAUGAAACCAUGUCCCCAGGUAGUGGAUGGAAACAACUUUGUCAAAUAUUUUUAUGAACAAGGCAACCAAUCCUUCUCACACUCACUUUGGUUCAAUCCCCAAAGUUCACAUCGAACUCAUUUAGUGCCAAACUCCUGAAGAGAGAAUAACUCACUUUCUGUGACUUUCUCCCAGGCUAAUAAUCCAAAAGAUCUGCAGUCCUAAAACACUUUCUUAUAUUUUUUCAUAUCUGACCUGCUUUUGGUCUAAAAACACAUUUGCUUUAUUUUCAGUGUCAUUAUUGCCAUUGAAUUCUUAUUGCUAUAGACCUCUUUAUAGAAUAAGUAUGACUUCAAGUCACAUAUUAUUAGGAUUCUUUAAAAAUUUUAUAUGUGAACCUCUGAAUUUUUCCUAAAAACUAAAAGAAAUUCUUUUCAGAAAAAAAUUCACGCAGAUUCUCACACACACACAUACACCUUCAUUUAAUAUGUAUGUUUUCAUAAUAUAAAAUAACCGCCUAAAUAUUCCAUCUUCCCCAACAAAUAAUAAAUCAUAUAGCUACAACCAACAAAUAAUAAAUCAUAUAGCUACUACCAAUAAAACAAUUAUGGAUGAAUACCUGGCUUUUAGUCCAGACAAUUGGAGGGAAUUUAAAGAAAAAUAAUCCAAGGCAUAAUUCUGGUUAUGUGUAUAAUUCCCCCUUGUUUUUGCAUUUUAGUGUUAUCUUAUAAUGUGUUAAGACCAAUGAAUCUGCAGAAUUUAGAAAUGCAUUAAAAUAAAUAAAAUAAUAAUUAUUUUAGUAACAAAGCUUUUGGGAUAGCCUUUUCAAGUGUACAAGUACAAGUUGUUCAAGUACAAGAAUGAAACCCUUUUAGAAUUCUUAGAAGUCUGACUUGGCUUUGGUUUGGCUUAUUACUACAUUUUGUAUUGCUUUCAGUAGCCUGUAAAAACUAGCCCAUUGUAUCUUAGCUUACAGAGAAGCAAAGUCAUGCAUUCAUCCCCUCACUCACUCAUUAAACAAGUAUUUAUUGAACACAUCCUAUGAACCAGGCACUGGGAAUUCAGAAGCGGACAUAGUGGAUGAAAUGGCUGUUGUCAUAGAACUUAACGUCAGAAAAACAUAAUCAGGCACAGCGUGUGUGAGUACAUACACACACACACAAACAUAAAAUUGUCAGAUGGGAAUAAGUUUUAGGAGCAAUAUAAACUGGGUGUGAAAAUAAAGACUAAUGUGGGCAUGUUAUUCUACCAUACAGUUUACAGGCAAAGUCUCUCUGACAGAUAUUUACAGAGAAUAAUAAAUGAAGUAAGAAAGAGAUCAUAUGGUCAUUUUGUGAAAGAGUGUUCCAGCUGUAGAGAAGACCAAAUAGAAAUUUCUUGGAGGAAAGAGCAUGGUUGAAGUGUUUCAGAUACUGUGGGGAGACCACAGGCAUGGAUGGAGAGAAUGAAGAGGCUAAUGAUGAUUGCAGAUGAUAUCAAAGAAGGUAGAGGGACCAUUUCAUACAAGGAAAUAUAAACCAAAGGAGGAUAUGACUAUCUCAAUAUAUUAUUUGGCAUAAUUUUCACAAGAAUAACUUUAUUUGUCUAGGAGCAAGGCUGGAACCUAUUUAGGCUAAGUUUUGACAAAGGCAGUAGGGGUGAGGAAUGAAGAAAUGGUUAGUUCUGUAUACAUUUCAAAAGUCACCAUGACUAGAUUAGAAAUAAUUCUUUUUUUUUCACUCUUUCUUUUAAAAAAGGAGUCAAUAAUGAUCUUAAAUAAUUUGUGAUGGGUAAACUGGAAAAAUAUAGUUGGCAUUACUUGGAAAGGGGAAGAUUUGAGGUCAAGAGGUGGCACAGUGUAGAAGGAUUAAUGAUUCAAGUUUGGAAAUUGUAAAUUUGAGAAUUUUAUCAGACAUCCAAAGGAAAAUCAUUAGUGUGCAGUAGAUGAAUGUAUCAGGAUCACAGGGUUUGGGAUAUAAAGAUAUACAUUUGUGUCAAUAAGAUGGGGAUAUUUAAAGCCAAAGGACAGAAUGAGACAAUAUGAAGAAUGGCACUAGAUAGAAACAAAAUCAAAGAACUUAAACACAUUAGAGAAGCUGAUGCCUGAAAGUUAGGAAGAUAAAUCUGAAAAAGCAAAUUUGAUGAUAAAAAAAUGAGGUUCAGGUAGACCUAGAAAAUAGCAUUAGAUUUAAAAUGAGUUUAAUUUGCGAAGUAGUCCAAUAAAAAUUUGGUUUGGGAAUGAGGAAAUAAGAACUUGAUGGGAAAGAAGGCUUUAUUAUGAAGCAAGUUACCGUUAAAAAGUAUCACUUCAGAGGUAUCCCACCCAAGAGUCAGGGGAUUCAUGGAGGAUACGUCCGCCCACUCUUCUCACUUACUGACUGAACGCUCAGCCAAGAAGUUGUUCAUUCUUUCAUAUUGCUGGCCUACAUAUUAACCUUCUUUGAUAAGGCAAUUUGAUAUUAUAAUGAUGUCAAUCUUACCAAAAUGGUCACUAUGAUCAACUGGAAUUUUUCUAGAAAGGAGAUGGUGCUACUUGAAAAUGUGCGUGGAUGACAAAGAGUUUCAUUUUUAAAUUUUUCUUUUUCUUUUNUUUUUUUUUUUUUGCUUUUUAGGGCCACACUCAUGGCACAUGGAGAUUCCCAGGCAAGGGGGUUGAAUUGGAGCUACAGCUGCC